GUGGAUUCCUUAAAUGUUUGUUCGUCCGAUGAGAGAAGUGCAAUGCGUUUGUUGAUAGCUGUAGGUAAUUGUCUUGUAAUGCUUGGUGGAUGGUUUGAGUGUCUGUGGAUGUACAAUGGAUCGUCAUUGGGUUUCCUGUGUGGUUUGUGUUUUGCGUUGAUCAGGUCGAAAGUAACAUCUAAAAAAUUUACAACGUUCAUACUUACUUCGGCGGUGAUUUUAAGGUCAAAUUGCUCGAAAAUUUUGUGUAGCUCUUUUCUAGUUUUGUCU
This is a non-coding RNA of Paramuricea clavata, 270 nucleotides long. The record is from the annotation of a GenBank genome assembly. NCBI's taxonomy places the organism in Eukaryota, Metazoa, Cnidaria, Anthozoa, Malacalcyonacea, Plexauridae.